ACUAUUCGGCAGAGCCAUCAUACAUGCGAGCCGGAGAGCACGUGACGGAGGCGCGCUGAUGACGUCAAUUAUUUAUGUUUGCCCCAAUUCUGACGGAAAGGUGUUCACGGUGUGUGAAGUGUGCUAACAUCGUAGCCGACAUGGACACUGAUGGACAGUUCACCACUGCAAAGGCUGCGUUCAGCGGUACUAUCAACGGGACGGUUAGCAUGGUGCUUUUCUUUGCAUUGUGCCGGGCUCUGCCACGUCGGUGAGGAACAGGCCACCUCAACCCUGCAGGGCUGCCAAGUAUUCUUCCUCCCUCCCCUGGCUCCAUGCACGACACAGUGUCGCCCUGCUGGCCAAUCACAGGCUGACACAGACAGUCUGCAGCUGAAAAACAGAAGCACAAGGGAGGCUGCACACUUUUAGAAAAGCAGUCACACAUGACAUGUUCCUGGAGAACACACUCAGACACUCACACACUCCAUCAGUUUGAGCUUCUCAUGUGAAGGCUGAGCACACACACAUUCAGGGAAGACUUGACCGACUUCAGUGAAGUUUUUUUUUUUGUUUCCUUCAUUGUUAACUCCAUCUCCUCCUCCUGCUGUGCACACAUCUGCCAACAUGUGCCUUCCUCUGACAGCGGCGCUGCUGCUGUCUCUGCUCGGUGAGUACUCUACUUUCUUUAGUUUCAUGGACCGAUGAGGACUUCAUGAGUCAUUUUGGACUGAGCAGGUUAAUGUUUAGGAUGCCUCAUGUCAGAUUUAGUCUCUGAGCUCUCCUGUUGUGUUUAAAAGACAGCUGAUUUCUGCACACACUUAGACACACGUGUUUGUUCCACCUUUAUCUUACUUAAUCAUCUUUAAUGUCAGGACAGGGACUCUGCAGCAGGCAGACCACAUUGUAUUGAUGAAAGCUUAGCUGAGGUUGCAC
Molecule: non-coding RNA, 915 nt
Organism: Labrus bergylta (ballan wrasse)
Lineage: Eukaryota; Metazoa; Chordata; Actinopteri; Labriformes; Labridae
Source: RefSeq, a predicted model, not a curated record